UACGUAGGGAGCAAGCGUUGUUCGGAAUCAUUGGGCGUAAAGCGCGUGUAGGCGGUUAUAUAAGUCUGUGGUGAAAGUCCGAGGCUCAACCUUCGAAAGCCCAUGGAUACUGUGUGACUUGAGUACGGAAGAGGAGAGUGGAAUUCCUGGUGUAGCGGUGAAAUGCGCAGAUAUCAGGAGGAACACCAACGGCGAAGGCAGCUCUCUGGGACGUUACUGACGCUGGGACGCGAAAGCGUGGGGAGCAAACAGG
This 253-nucleotide ribosomal RNA is filed under the name uncultured bacterium. RNAcentral describes it as "partial 16S ribosomal RNA". It matches the Rfam family "Bacterial small subunit ribosomal RNA", at positions 524 to 776 of the family's 1533-position model. The record is from RNAcentral.